CCUACGGGAGGCAGCAGUGAGGAAUAUUGGUCAAUGGACGAAAGGCGGAACCAGCCAAGUAGCGGGAAGGAAGAAGGCCCUAUGGGGUGUAAACUUCUUUUAUAGGGGAAUAAAGUGUUCCACGUGUGGGUUUUUGCAUGUACCAUAUGAAUAAGGAUCGGCUAACUCCGUGCCAGCAGCCGCGGUAAUACGGAGGAUCCGAGCGUUAUCCGGAUUUAUUGGGUUUAAAGGGUGCGUAGGUGGUUUGUUAAGUCAGUGGUGAAAGUUUGCGGCUCAACCGUAAAAUUGCCGUUGAAACUUGCAGUCUUGAGUGCGGUAGAGGUAGGCGGAAUGCGUGGUGUAGCGGUGAAAUGCUUAGAUAUCACGAAGAACUCCGAUUGCGAAGGCAGUUCACUGGACUGUAACUGACACUGAGGCACGAAAGUGUGGGUAUCAAACAGGAUUAGAUACCCGAGUAGUA
Molecule: ribosomal RNA, 460 nt
Filed under: uncultured bacterium
Lineage: Bacteria
Description: partial 16S ribosomal RNA
Rfam family: Bacterial small subunit ribosomal RNA
Source: RNAcentral